UUGUGUAAGUGCAAUUCCCCUACUCCUGCUCAUGGCAUCCUUUUCUAAUUUCAGGUGGUGAAGAAGAAGCAGCGAACAAGAAUAGUGGAAUUUUUUAUUGACGUGGCCAGAGAGUGCUUCAACAUUGGAAACUUUAAUUCAAUGAUGGCCAUUAUCUCAGGUAUGAACUUAAGUCCUGUAGCCCGGCUAAAGAAAACGUGGUCCAAAGUCAAAACCGCCAAAUUUGAUGUGUUAGAGAAUUUGUUUCUUCAUCUUUAAUUGAAGUCUGCCAUCUGGUGGAGGGAGAUGGCCAACCUUUAGCAAGAACAACUCUCCAUAAAGCUGUGAACAUCUAUUUCGGUUUUGUGACAUUUCUCUGCAUCUUGUCUACAUUUUCUUUCCACCCUUGUUUCUGUUCUUUUUAAUAUUUUCCCUAAUGUGCCCAUUUCAGUUUGUUUUUGCAACUUAUUUCCAUUGACUGAAGUAUUUGUAUAAUUAUGUUCAUUUUAGUUGUUAAUAUUUUAAAAUACACACUUUCUGUUGUGGGCGUAUUAGUUUGAACUUGCCCUAUAAGCCUUGUAAAUAUGUGAAUUCUUGAGCUGAGCUUGUUUUUUUCUUGCAAGGAAUCUGUGGACAUGCAAAAUACUACUUUCAUUGAGACUGCAGAAUCCAAUGAAUCCCCCCAUCCUUAUUACAAACUACACUCAAAUUGUUGUUGUUGUUGUUUAAAUCAUAGUCUAAGGUGGGGUGUAUGGACAAGGAGACCUGCUUCAUCCUGAAUCAUA
Non-coding RNA from Pogona vitticeps (central bearded dragon), 764 nucleotides. NCBI's taxonomy places the organism in Eukaryota, Metazoa, Chordata, Lepidosauria, Squamata, Agamidae. The record is from RefSeq and is a predicted model, not a curated record.